GAAUACUCUCUGUGCUGCCAGGUGCUGUCGGGACAGAUUUUCCCGUGGUAGCGGCAUCGCAGGAACAUGUGUCCCCACGGCUUUUUCUGCGGCCGCCCCCUCUGCCGACACGCUGGCGUAUAUAUGAAGCAUGAGUGGCCAAAAGCUGCCGCACACAGGCUGAGGAGGACCCGCGGCACCUGCAGCAGAGCAGUUGAACCCAGCUAUGAUGUAAGUCAGAUCUUCCAGUGGCUGGUGGCCAGUGCCGACUGGGACAGCUUCCAGCCUCAGAGGACUGCGAUUAACCCAGGAGCGGUCAAACUCGGCAGGACGCCCUCCACAACCAGCCACAGCUAUUUAUCCACUUUCCAAUGAAACCAAUUACUUUUACAGCAAGCCCCAGCGCCAACAUUAUAUGUGUUGUUCUUGCAGACCAAAAGAGUAUGGCUUUGAAAAGAGAGCCAGGCAUGAAGUAGGAAACCCUCCUGAGCUGCUCCAGCAGGCUGUAAAAUAUACCUAAAGUCAGUAUCCAUGGAGACUAGCUGGUGUGUGAGAGCAGCCUGAAGGAUACACGUGGAUAUUAUUACUAUUGCUAUUUACUGUUCUUUGUCUUUUACUUGUUAUUGUAGAGUGUUAGUUUUUACACAGUUUCCUCUGGGAUUAAUACAUGAUUCCGAUUCUGAGUAAUAGUGUUGGAGUUGCUACAAAUUUCCUUCAUGUAGCUACCAGAAGAAAUGUUUUUAAUGUAAAUCUGCUUACACCUUGCUUAUAUUUAUUUAUAUGUUUUACAAUGUGCUUAUUGCAGGACAUCACAGCUUUUAACAAAUUCUGAUAUUUUAGCUUCUUUUUUGAAAAUUAAAUUUCAACAGUUGUAAAAGUCACAGCAUGUUAACUUCAUAGAACUUUUUCAGUCAUUUUCAUCUUCUUUUCACUAUGAAAAUGACCUUGCAGAAACAGAGGGAAAUGCAAGCGCAAGGGCUUUUCUACAAAAAUUGUAUAAGAAAAAUCUAGAAAACAUCCAGUUAUUGUUUGACACAUUAAGGACGCAUUACUUCUUCCAUUAACAUUGAGCUGUAGUCAAGUGAUUAUAUGACUCACAAAUGCACAGAAAAUACUGCAACCAACACUGCAAAGUGCUGACAAACACAGUAAACCAAAUAGCUUAUAUAAUACAAACCAACCACAAUGGUUGCCCAGGGUAACAUGUUCACAUUGCUUUUGGCAACUGACUUGCUCUGAAAAAUACCCAAAGAUGUUGAGUGCACUGCAGUCUUACAAAUGUUAACUUCUGAGAAUCUGUGACUAAAGAUCAUUUCUGCUUUGUUUGGUGCUGAUUAGCAUUUUCCUUUACUGCUGAACGAAAAUCUAAUGAAGCUCCAUUUAAGGCUUUUGGAGGGCUUUUCUUGACAUUAGAAUCCACAGGCUAACAGUAAAAUGAGGGGGCAUAUUUUUUGAAUUAUGUUGACAAGGUUGUUUUUUUUCUGCAUCUGUCCAAUAAAUGUCAUGUUAAAGUGUUGUUAUUAGGUUACUAGUCGUAAGUAAGGAAAGGACGAGGACAGCAGACUCAGUUAAUAAAGCAGUCAUAUCACUGAUCGCUGGCUGGGCUAAUUGACAGACACAUGAAGAGAAAACUACUAAUUGAUUAUAGGCUUGUCCUAUUCUAGCGCAGGAGGUGACUGAUGGAAAAUGUGAAUUGGCCUGAGAGAUGCUUUAUGCCUAUGUCUACAUUUGGAUUUCUGUUUCGAUGAAAAACUUUCUGCACAGUGCUUUCUGCUUGAAAUUUCUACGUUCUUUAAGGUGCAAUAAAAAAAGUGGUGGUUUUUAUAGUUAUUUGUGUGUCUUGACAGUUGUGCUGUCACUUAGCAGAGGGUCUCCAGGCUUUCUAAUACAGUCCCACUGAGCUUAUAUCCAAAAGAAGUAUUUACUUUUAACCAAGUGAAGCCUGAACCAUGAAAUGUUUUUUUGAAACUGGGAUGUUUACUGAGCCUUCUGACCAAUAAAAAAUAAAUAAAUAAAUGAAAUAUCAGUUUACAUAUAUGAGCAUUGAUUUGCAUAAAUUCUGCUACAUCUGACUGUAUACAUCAGGCUUUUCAGGAAAAAUUAUACUAAGUAGGGGUCCCACAAACCCAUGUAUAAAACACGAUACUCUUGGCUUUACAGGAUCAGCUUUUCUAUUCUAAUCUGGUUUGAAUGUAGAGAACAGUGUAACUGCACAGCAUGGCCAUCACUG
Long non-coding RNA from Oreochromis aureus, 2209 nucleotides. Lineage: Eukaryota; Metazoa; Chordata; Actinopteri; Cichliformes; Cichlidae. The record is from Ensembl.